RNAcentral lists this transfer RNA (72 nucleotides) under Danionella translucida. It matches the Rfam family "tRNA". From Rfam's summary of the family: Transfer RNA (tRNA) molecules are approximately 80 nucleotides in length. Their secondary structure includes four short double-helical elements and three loops (D, anti-codon, and T loops). Further hydrogen bonds mediate the characteristic L-shaped molecular structure. tRNAs have two regions of fundamental functional importance: the anti-codon, which is responsible for specific mRNA codon recognition, and the 3' end, to which the tRNAs corresponding amino acid is attached (by aminoacyl-tRNA synthetases). tRNAs cope with the degeneracy of the genetic code in two manners: having more than one tRNA (with a specific anti-codon) for a particular amino acid; and 'wobble' base-pairing, i.e. permitting non-standard base-pairing at the 3rd anti-codon position. Lineage: Eukaryota; Metazoa; Chordata; Actinopteri; Cypriniformes; Danionidae. The record is from Rfam by way of RNAcentral. RNAcentral also lists the same sequence under 1 other name.
UCCCUGAUGGUCUAGUGGUCAGGAUUCGGCGCUCUCACCGCCACUGCCCGGGUUCGAUUCCUGGUCAGGGAA